Molecule: long non-coding RNA, 2295 nt
Filed under: Homo sapiens (human)
Lineage: Eukaryota; Metazoa; Chordata; Mammalia; Primates; Hominidae
Description: HSALNT0284065
Source: RNAcentral
CCGGAGUUGUCUGGUAAUGAGGCAAUCCUUUCCUGGCACCAAGGAAGGGCUGCCAAAACUUACCAGUUCGAAGCGAUGUCUGGUCAUCAGUUGGCGGUGGCCUUUCGCUGGAGUUGCCAACUUGAUAUCUGACCUAUUUCAAGCUAUGCAGCUAUUCUCAUCUGAAGUCAUCAGUUGGGAUGGAAACCAGUCUCUCAGCAGUACUUAAACAGGUCAGAAAGUUGCCAGCAGUUCCAAUCUAUUAUUUUUAUCUCAAAGGAAAAAUCAGCAGUAGAGUGGCUUCCCUCCUUCGACUCAGUUUCAGGGAAGGGGUGAGAACACCCUGUGAAGAGGAAGGCAGAGAUUGGAAUGAUGCAGAAGAAGCCAACGAAUCUAGGAGAGAGGCAUGAAUUUCCCCUUCAUAGUCCUUGUAAGGAGCCAACCCUGCUGCACCUUUAUCUCAAAUGUCCAGCUUCCAGAACUGCAAGACAGUAAAUUUCUGCUGUUUAAGACAAAAAAAAAAAAAGUUAAGCUUUAUAUGCACAAAGCAAGACAUUACUUAUAUUAAAUGUUGUAUCUGUGAUCUUUACAACAUUUGUCAAAUAGUCUAUUAGCCAAUCAGUUGGUAGGCAGAAGUAUCUAAAUCACAUAAAAUAAUUGUGCCUAAAUAAUUCUGGUAACUUAUGUAUAAUCCGUUGAACAUCUUGACAAUCACUAAUUUAACUAAUGCAAGUUUGUCAAAUAGGGGAACUGGGGAUCCUGAUACUAAUAUAAUUUUAGAAGAUGAACAACAGUAAAGCAUUUAUGGACUGAGAGCUUAAUGUGUUUAUUUCUUUUAAAAUUUUACAAACUGCUGGGUGUGUUGGCUUAUGCCUCUAAUCUCAGCACUUUGGGAGACUGAGGCAGGUGAAUUGCUUGAGCCCAGGAGUUCACGACCAGCUUGGGCAACGUAGUGAGAACUAAUUUCUACUAAAAAUUAAACAAAAAAAUAGUCAAGUGUGGUGGUACACACCUGAAAUCCCAGUUAUUCUGGAGACUGUGGCAGUAAGAUCAUUUGAGCCCAAGAUACUGAGACUACUGUGAGCCAUGAUUGUGCCACUGCACUCCAGCUCAGGCAACAGACUGAGACCCUGUCUCAAAAAUAAAUAAAUACAAAUAAAAUAAAAUUUUACAAACUUUCUGAUUUAGCAGUCACUAAAAACCACAUGAAAAAUCUAUUAUAUAUACACCAUCUUUUAAAAUAAAUACAUUGUAAUUUUGAAAAAUUGUGUUAUUUCCCUGAAAUCAACGUUAGCAAACAAUGGGGCUAAUAUAAAUCCAGAUAUGUUCAACUUCAAAGCCUAUACUACAAUUACUCUUGUAAAAAUAGUUUUCCAGUUAUGCCUCAACUUGUUUUAACUAGUGGAAAAAAAAAGCUUUCCAGCCCAUUAUGAGAAAGAAAAUUUAACUUCUCUAUUACAUAACUUGAUUACAUAAAUUACUAUAACCUAAUAAGUGCAGUUAACUUGACAUCCUCACUUAACAUAUGGAAGAGCACAUUUAUGACACAUUUAUAGACAUCAGUAUGGCAUUGUAUAUCAGAAAUUAAAAUGUGGAUAAGAUUUUGUCCCCCAAAUUUUACUACAAUAAAUUUGUUUUAAGGAAAUAUUGAAGUAGCAAAGAUGUAUGUUUAAGAAUAUUAAUUAUUACAGUGCUAAAAAAUAAAAUAUAGAACAAAAACUGAAUACAAAAUGUGACUAGAAUGUCAAAUAGAUGUCUACAUUCCCAUAUUUAUUGAAACAUUUUUCAUUAUAGCCAAGAUUUGCAAGCAACCUAAGUGCCUCUCAACAAAUAAAGAGAUUGUUUAAAUGUUUUGUGUGUGUGUGUGUGUAUAAUGGAAUACUGUUCAAUCUUUAGAAAAAAUAAAAUUCUGCAAUUUGCAACAACAUGAAUAAAGCUAGAGGACAUUUAUACUGAAUGAAAUAAGUCAUGUACAGAUAAACAAAUAUUACAUGCUCUCACUUAUAUGUGCAAGCAAAAAUUUGAGCUUACACAAGUAAGGGGUAAAAUGGUUACUACCAAAAACUAGGGCAGGAGUGCAUGGAGAAAGGAAAAUGUUGGUUAAAAGGUACAAAAUUUCAAUUAGAUAAGAGAAAAAAGUUAUGGUGAUCUAAUGCAUACCAAGUAAUUACAAUUAAUAAUAAUGAAUUUUCUAUUUAUAAUUGCAAAAAGGGGGAUUUUAAAUGUUCUUAACAAAAAUAAAUGUGAGAAUUGACAGAUAUAUUAAUUAACCUAAUUUGUUCAAUCCACAAUGUAUACCUGUAUCUAUGCAUCACA